GACGAACGCUGGCGGCGUGCUUAACACAUGCAAGUCGAGCGAACCUUCGGGUUAGCGGCGAACGGGUGAGUAACACGUGGGCAACCUGCCCCGAGCUCUGGGAUAACCCCGGGAAACCGGGGCUAAUACCGGAUAUGACACCGACAGACAUCUGACGGUGUGGAAAGUUUUUCGGCUCGGGAUGGGCCCGCGGCCUAUCAGCUUGUUGGUGAGGUAACGGCCCACCAAGGCGACGACGGGUAGCCGGCCUGAGAGGGGCGACCGGCCACACUGGGACUGAGACACGGCCCAGACUCCUACGGGAGGCAGCAGUGGGGAAUAUUGCGCAAUGGGCGAAAGCCUGACGCAGCGACGCCGCGUGAGGGAUGAAGGCCUUCGG
This 379-nucleotide ribosomal RNA is filed under the name uncultured bacterium. Its description in RNAcentral is "bacterial SSU rRNA". It matches the Rfam family "Bacterial small subunit ribosomal RNA", at positions 28 to 421 of the family's 1533-position model. The record is from RNAcentral.